UAAGACAUGCAAGUCGAGCGGCAGCACGGACUUCGGUCUGGUGGCGAGUGGCGAACGGGUGAGUAACAUAUCGGAACGUAUCCAAUAAUGGGGGAUAACUAAUCGAAAGGUUGGCUAAUACCGCAUACGCCCUACGGGGGAAAGCUAGGGACCUUCGGGCCUGGCGUUAAUGGAGCGGCCGAUAUCUGAUUAGCUAGUUGGUGGGGUAAAGGCCCACCAAGGCGACGAUCAGUAGCUGGUCUGAGAGGACGACCAGCCACACUGGAACUGAGACACGGUCCAGACUCCUACGGGAGGCAGCAGUGGGGAAUUUUGGACAAUGGGCGCAAGCCUGAUCCAGCCAUUCGCGUGAGUGAAGAAGGCCUUCGGGUUGUAAAGCUCUUUCGCAAGGGAAGAAAACUUAGCCACUAACAUUGGCUGAGGUUGACGGUACCUUGAUAAGAAGCACCGGCUAACUACGUGCCAGCAGCCGCGGUAAUACGUAGGGUGCGAGCGUUAAUCGGAAUUACUGGGCGUAAAGCGUGCGCAGGCGGUUUUGUAAGUCAGAUGUGAAAUCCCCGAGCUCAACUUGGGAACUGCGUUUGAAACUACAAGACUAGAAUAUGUCAGAGGGGGGUAGAAUUCCACGUGUAGCAGUGAAAUGCGUAGAGAUGUGGAGGAAUACCAAUGGCGAAGGCAGCCCCCUGGGAUAAUAUUGACGCUCAUGCACGAAAGCGUGGGGAGCAAACAGGAUUAGAUACCCUGGUAGUCCACGCCCUAAACGAUGUCUACUAGUUGUUGGUGGAGUAAAAUCCAUGAGUAACGCAGCUAACGCGUGAAGUAGACCGCCUGGGGAGUACGGUCGCAAGAUUAAAACUCAAAUGAAUUGACGGGGGCCCGCACAAGCGGUGGAUUAUGUGGAUUUAAUUCGAUGCAACGCGAAAAACCUUACCUGGCCUUGACAUGUAGCGAACUUUCCAGAGAUGGAUUGGUGCUCGAAAGAGAACGCUAACACAGGUGCUGCAUGGCUGUCGUCAGCUCGUGUCGUGAGAUGUUGGGUUAAGUCCCGCAACGAGCGCAACCCUUGCCAUUAAUUGCCAUCAUUUAGUUGGGCACUUUAAUGGGACUGCCGGUGACAAACCGGAGGAAGGUGGGGAUGACGUCAAGUCCUCAUGGCCCUUAUGGCCAGGGCUUCACACGUAAUACAAUGGUCGGUACAGAGGGUUGCCAAGCCGCGAGGUGGAGCCAAUCCCAGAAAGCCGAUCGUAGUCCGGAUUGUAGUCUGCAACUCGACUACAUGAAGUCGGAAUCGCUAGUAAUCGCGGAUCAGCAUGUCGCGGUGAAUACGUUCCCGGGCCUUGUACACACCGCCCGUA
Molecule: ribosomal RNA, 1355 nt
Filed under: uncultured bacterium
Lineage: Bacteria
Description: bacterial SSU rRNA
Rfam family: Bacterial small subunit ribosomal RNA
Source: RNAcentral